Molecule: long non-coding RNA, 13657 nt
Organism: Brassica rapa (field mustard)
Lineage: Eukaryota; Viridiplantae; Streptophyta; Magnoliopsida; Brassicales; Brassicaceae
Source: RefSeq, a predicted model, not a curated record
UGACAAAAAAUUAAAAAUGCUAUUUGAGAGAAUUGCUCUUAAAAAUAUUAUGCAUCAUGCCCAUUAUUAAAAUAUUAUCUUAUUAUUUUCUUUAUUUUAAUAAUUCUAAUUUUAGUUUUUUUAUUACUGUGUUUUACCAGAAAAAAAAAAUAAAUCCAGAAAAUGAAAAUAUGCAAAUCAUUUACACACAAUUAAAAAUGAUUUAGAUAUUUGUUUCCAAUAUAAUCUAUACUAGGUAAUAACCUGCGCCUUGCACGGAAUGUGAUUAUUAGUUUCGUUAUUUUUUAAUAAGGAGACAUUAAUCUGUUUAAUCUAGAUAUCAGUUCGGUUUUAGGUUGUUUUUUUAGUUUUUAGUCCCCUGAAAUAUAACUAUCAUUUUAAAUCAAUAUUUAUUUGGUUUGUUCGGUUAAAAUGAUUGAUGUUUUUGUUUUUUUUCCUCUGGUAAUGAAAAAAUACUAUUAUUUAUUUGUUUUCAUGUUAUGAAUCUUAGAUAGUCGUGAUGUCAAAUUAAUGAUUUCAUAUUAUAGUUUCUAAACAGAUAAUAGUUAAAAAAAAUAGAAAAAACAAUUAUGAAGAUAAAUCAUUUUAUUACAAUUUGGUCGAUAGUGAAAGAAUUAUUAAGAAAAAAAAUAUUUUAACUUCCAAAAAUAUUAGAUAUUUCAGUUUUGGUAAAUACUUAGUUAUAAGGUGCUCAGGUCAAUGUGCACAUGUAUCUGUAUGUAAAAGUAUAUAAAGAUGGUUGAUAAAUAUAUAAAGAUAAUGUUAAUUAAUAUUAAAUGACAUUUUUUUUUCAAAAUAAUACAUGAAAAAUAAAAUUCUUAAAAUGAAAUUAUUUAAAAACAAAAAUAUUGUAAAAUUUAUAUAAACUAUAAUAUAUAACUUAUAUAUAAUUCUUUAAAUAUAUGUAUAUAUAUAUAUAUAUGCGUAUAACAGAUCAAAUUGGAUAUCCAUUUCUAUAAAUAUUGAUAUUUGUGAUUUGUUUUUUUAUACGGAUAUUGCAUUUUAGUAUUUGAUUUGCUUCGUGGAGUAACAUAUAUCCAGAUUUUUUGGUUCGAAUCAAAACGAAUAAUGAAUCAAAGUAAAGUUUAUGAAUAAUUUGUCCAGCUCUAUUCGUAAACAGUAAAAAUAACGUAAAAAUGAACCAUCCAUGUGAGUUUUAUAUUAAAAAAUGUAAAAUACAUAGUGUGAAAUAUUUAUGUAAGUUUGACUGAGAAGCUUUUUACAUGUGACAUGUGUUCAUUUUAGUGUGAAAUCAUUUAUUACAAUGUUUAUACACGUGACAUGUGUCCAAUUUAAUGUGAACGCAUUUAUUACAAUGUUUCUCUUUUAAUAUAUAAAGGAUUUUAAAAAUUAUGUCAACUAAUAUAAUAACUAUCAAAAGACUAAAAACCUUAUUAUAUGUUUUUUAUCAAAUCUCUAAAAAUAAAACAAACAUACAUUGAAACAGUAUAAAUCUAUCAUAUGAAACAUAUAUUGAUGUUUGAUCAUCUGAUAUGAUCAUAAAUUUUUUUUUAUUAAAAAUAAAUUUUAAAUAAAUUACUUACUGAAGAAUUGAAACAAAAAUAAUGAUUGAUAACUGAUCCAAGUUAAACUGGCUAAACUGAGAAUCGGCCUAUUCCUACAUCAACAAAGGCCAACGGUCCUGAUCAUUACAUGAACAUACGAGCUGUGCGAAUUCAUACACAAACACUCAGUUAAUUCAAAUUUCAUACACGAAUUGAUAAAAUCUGGCUUUUACAUACAUUCACGAUUUUUUUAUUAAUCAAUGAAAAUGGAACAUAAACUGGCAGUUAACGGUUAUAUGCCCCUUAAAAAAUCCUACGUGGCAUUUUUAUUUUAAAACAAUAAAUCAUUAAUUAAAAAUAAUAUAAAUUUCGUUGGGGGAAGAAUAGAACUCGGGCUGGAACAUUAAUUCAUCCAGACAUCAGCCAAUGUGCCAACAUCGACUUAUUGUUUUAAUUUAGUAUGAUAUUCUAUUUACUUUAUACUAUUGAAUAUUUCUGUGUUUUCAAAAAAAACCUCAUGUAUAAAUAUUUUUUCUUCACAAAUUACAUAUAAUUUCUAAUAUGUAAUACAUAACUAAUGUGUAAAUGAACCUAUUGUAUAAAUAUUUUUGUAUUUUAUAAAAAACAUAAUGUAUAAAUAUAUUUUCACAAACUUUCUUAUUUCAAUCGAAUGAAACUUAGAAAUGUGGAAAGAAAUCAUAUUUAACGUGAUUUGAUCCGACCUGUAUAUCCAUAUAUAUGAAUAUCAUUGAUAAGGAUGAACUAAAUUAUUAUAUUAUCAGCAUAAAUUUUCUCUAAAAAUGCAUAUAUAUUUUUCACAAAUUUUAUAUAAUUUCUAAUAUAUAUACAGAUUGUUAUAGGAAUACUUUAAUAUAAAAUAUGAAUAUUGUGUAUUUUUUAUUAUGUUGGACACAUCUCUUGUAAUUUAUUAAUAAAUAUAUAAUUAAAAUGUAAUAUUCACUAGAUUUUUUUUAAACUCAGAAAUAUUCUUUGGUAUAAGUAAAACAUCAUACUAGGUUAAAACAAUUAGUUGGGUUUGGCAUAGUGGCUGAUAUCCGGAUGAAUUAAUGCUACAAUCCACGUUCGAUUCCCCCCUCCCUCAAAAUGUUCAAAAUAAUUUUAACUAAUUAUUUAUUAUUUUAAACGUAAAAAGCCACGUAGGAUUAAAGAAUGACUAGAUUUUGAUCCGCGCUUAAAAAGCGCAAGUUUAUCUUUGAAAUUAAAUAAAUUUUUAAUAUAUAAUUUUUAUAUAAGAUAGUGUAUAGAUUUGAAUGCAUUUACCUAGGUGCACUGAACCGUACCAAACUGGAAAAAACUUCAAAAUUAAGCUAAAUUUCAUAAAUAACCGAGCAUAUCCUAUAUCUUUGGAACCAAAAAAUAGAAACCAAACUGAGAAUCAAAUGAAUACCUAAAUUUUUAAAAUACAAAUUAUGUACCUAUAAAUAUUAAUUAUAUUUAAUUUCUAAAUAGCCAAAUAUAUAAAAAAUACUAUUUAUAAAUCAAAUUAUGCAAAACAAAUUAAUGACUCGAAUAUUUUUUAUUCAAAUAAUUAAUAGUUAAUUAUUCAUCCUAUAUUUUUUUUCCAAACAAACUAAGCUACCCAAUUUAAAGUGCAAGAUAUUUUACCUCUAAUAAAUUCUAAAAGAUAUUCUCGUUAUAAGGUAAGAACUAGAUUUUGACAUGUGUUUAGAAAGUGCGGGUUUAUUUUUGAAAUUAAAUAAAUUCUUCUUAUAUAAUUUCUAUAUAAGAUAAUGUAUAGGUUUGGGUACAUUUACCCGGUUGCAUUGAACGGUUCCAAACUGGAAAAAACCCAAAAAUUAAGCUAAAUUUCAUAAAUAAUCAAACAUAUCUUAUAUCUUUAGAACCAAAAAAAUAGAAACCAAAUUGAGAAUCAAAUGAAUACUUAAAUUUUUAAAAUACAAAUUAUAUACCUAUAUGUAUUAAUUAUAUUUAACUUCUAAAUAACCAAAUAUCAUAAAAAAAUACUAUUUAUAAACCAAAUUAUGCAAAAACAAAUUAAUGACUCGUAUAUUUUUAUUCAAAUAAUUAAUAAUUAAUUAUUUAUCCUAUAUUUUUUUCCAAACAACCUAAACUACCCAAUUUAAAGCGCGAGAUAUUUUACAUUUGUGAAAAUUCAAUAAAACGUAUCAUUUGCAUUGUUAGAAUUUGUAAAGUAAAUAAACAUGUUCUGUUUAAACAAGUAUUUUUUUUACUAAUUUCGUUUAAAUCUCCAACCCGUUUAGACUCAUUUGAUAUUUUUUAAUGAUAAGAUUAAUCAUUUAUUUCAUAUAUAAGAAUGUAAGAUCAAAUCUUAAUAAUUGAUUGCAUGUAAUUAAUUAAAUUAAUGUUUCAUAGUUGAAAAGUUGCAUUAAGGCUUUUAGUUUCCAGUUCACGAAAAAAUGAAAAAAAAUUGUUAUACACCAGAGGAUUCUUCAUUAUAACCUAUUAAUGGAACUAUAUGUGGUAAUGAUCACGUCAUGUAUAAACAUGUUUGAAUAAUCUGUCAUAUAUUUGUGAGAAUUUAUUGUUAGAGUAAUUAUAUAAUAGAUUAUGAAGAAUAAUAAAUGAGUUCAUUUGAAUUAUGUAAAAUAUUUAUAUAGUUUGGGAAAUAUAAGGUAAGACCAAAAAAAAUAGUUAAGUCUAAUGAAAUGGUCCAACAACCUUGUUUAAGUAGAUUUUUUAAGAAUCCUUCACUUUUAAUAGUAUAGAUAUGUAACCGAUCGCUAACUGCCAGCUCAGAUUUUUUUUUCAUUGACUAACGGAAAAUUCGUCAAUGUAUGUAAAAGCCGGACUUUAUCAGUUCAUGUAUGAAAUUUGAAUUAAUUGAGUGUUUGUGUAUGUAUUCGCACAGCUCAUAUGUUCAUGUACUGAUCGGGACCGUUGGACUCUGUUGAUGUAAGAAUAUGCCUAUUUCCCGCUAAACUGAUACCACUUUCCUUAUUUAUUUCAUACUUUUUCAAAAUAAUAUAUGAUUAAUUAUAUAAACUUAAGAAAUUAUAAUUUGAAAUCUAAGAAAAAUGUAAUUAGCAAAAUUAAUCCAAUUUGUCUAAAUAAAAAGUUGUAGGUCAAUUCAGAAAAACAACUACAAUCGAAUAUACACAAAAGUAAAUAAAUAAACACUCAUCUUACUAUACAUAAAAUUGCAUGUAUUGAUAUGGUAUAACAUCAUUAUAUAUGAAUUAUAAAUAAAGAUGAAUUUAUAAAUAAAUGAAAGCAAAAUAUUACAUAUUAUUACUAUUUAGUUUUUUUAAUAGUUUUUAACACGUUAUUUUUACAGUUAUACCGGAGAAUUAUCAUAGCAGAAUCACCUAGUUGAAAUUACAUGUCUUCAAUAUUUAAAAAAAAAAUAUACAUGAAAAAUUGGCUUUCUUGGUUUGAAUUAUUUUUGCAGAAAACUGUUAAUUUCAAAAACAUAAGAUAACUUGUUCCACAACUCUCAGAAUAUACAUUAUGUUUCCAUUGUGGAGUAGAAAACAUAUUAUAACUUUUAAAUUAUUUCUGCCGUGAGUAAAAUAUGCAUUUUACCACUAGCACACUACUAUAUGUUUAAACACACUUUCUAAUGUAUUCAACCAAUUCUUUAUUUGUUAUACUAUGUGUAGAAUACUAGUUCUGCCACUGUAUUUAUUUAAUCAUUCGUAGAACGUGUUUCUGUCGAACUAAUUAUGAAAAUUUUAAAUUUAGGAAUUAAAAAAUAAAUAAAUUAGAUCUCAUGUUAAAAAUCUCUGUUUCAUUCCACGUUUUUACAAACUGAUAUUUUUUUUCUUUAUUAUGUGAUUCUUUUCUAUUGUUUUUUUCAGUUUUGUUCCGACCAGUAUGAUGCAUGUCUUUGUAAGUUUUGGCGAAUGGAUAUUGGACAUCAAUAAGGACUAGAUAUGUGUUGUUAAUGAAGAAAAUUGAGGUAAGCUUUUUACGUUGGAAACAACUACUACUCUGGAAAAACUUAAGAAAAUGGUUUUAGAAAAUUAUGGAAUCAUACAACACAAUGUAUAAUUUUAAGUUAGAAGCUAAUUAAAUUUAACCUUUGCUAGAUAAUUUAAGAUAUAUAUAUAUAUAUAUAAUCGUAUAAGUAACAGCUAAUGAUGAUCAAAUUAAUUAAAAUAAUAUUAAAAUACCAAUUAUGUUAUAGAAAUAUUGGAUGAUGACUUGAAAUAAAAUGUACUUAAUUAUUUCUAAUUUAUGAUCAUUAUUAUAAAGUAUUUAAAUUUUGGUUAUUUAAAAAUACUAAAUAUAAAAUUUGGAAAAUAUCAGACAUAAGCUAGACUUGAGGAAUAUGAGUGCAUCAAUAUUAACUGAAUAUAAAAUAUUGUAUCUUUAAUCAUAUGUGAAAUUUUAGUUGCAUGAAUUAUGUUGCAAUUGUUCUAAUCAUUUAACUUCUUUUCAACCACUGAAAUAUCUUUUAUUAAAUUUUAUUAUGCUGUUAAAGUAUUUUAACAAUUGAAAUUUUUUUUGUUUCAUUAAAAUUGUCUUUCUAAGAAUUAUCAGUAAUAUGUUUAUCAAUAUGAAUUUAAUAAAUAUUACUAAUAUGAUUUAUUUUUUCAAAAUAUAAUAAUUUAGAAACAAUAUGUCAAAAUAUCAAAAAUUAAGGAAUAGUUCUAAAUUUAUUAAUUUUGUAAUAUAAUUGACCAAUAUCAAUUUAAAAAUGUAGCCACAAAUAUAACAUUAUUUUUUAAGAAAUAUAUUUUGGUUGUGAAAAUAGAUCUUGACAAAUAGUAAUUAUAUGUGUAUACUAUUAAGUUUUAGUACAUUAACUAAUCAUGAUUUUUUGCAUUAGUUUGAGAUAAGAAAAUAAUAUAUGACAUGUAUAUUGAAAAAAUACUGGAAAAUGAAGUUCAGAAUACAAUAAUUUUAUAGCUAUGACAAUGUUUUAGAACAAAUUUGAAAGUUUCUUGUUUAGAAUUAUACAUAUCUAAAUAUUUAAACAUAAAUAAAUAUGUUGUAUCUUUGAUCAUAUGAGAAAAAAACAUUUUAAAACCAAUAUAAAAAUAUUUUCCUCAAAGUUUGUUUUCUUUAUUUUAGUUUUUUGAAUAUGUUUCAUUUAACUAUUUAAACAGGAAAAAUUAUUGCCAACUGCAUAAACUAUAUGUCACUACUAUAUGAUUACAUAUGUAUAAAAUAAUAAUGUACUAAAAACUAGACGAAUUAUAUGAUUCAUAUGACGAAAUCCUGAACUAUUAUAUGUUAUAUUGUUAACACCAUAAACAUCAUUGUAAUAGCUAAAAAGUGUUUCAGAUUGGAGAUCUAGCAACAAUUGAUGAGUUUUUGGUCAACCAAAGUCUUUGAAAUAUAUCUAGCACACAUACAAGAGAUCAAAAAUAGAAUACAUACAUAGAUCAAGGAUUUAAAUGCAAUGUUAUACAACUCAGAAUAUAAAAUGAUAUAUAAAAACUCCAUUAAAACUAUUGGAUUCCAACAUACAUAUUAGCUAUUUGAAUGAUGUUAAUGGUGUUGCAAAAUAACAAAUAAUAGCUUAGAGAUGUUAUCAUGUAAAUCAUAUAGUUCAUGUAGUUUUUAAUACAUUACUUUUGUUCAGAUGUGUGGCUUUCAUGUAGCUCACAAUCCCUUUCCGUUUAAUUAUAAUCUUCUUUCAUUUCAUUUCAUUUCAAAUGAUAUUACUACUUUGACUUCUAAUGAUUAAGAUGUUGUUUAGUAAUAAAUAAAUUUGCAUGUAACAAUUGAAAUUUAUGAUAAUCUAAUCUAUAGUCAAUAUAUAGUGUAAAAUAUUUUUAAUAUAUUUUAAUAAAUUUAGUUAACUAAUUUUUUUUAAUUUCAGUUUAAUAUAUAUAUAUAUAUAUAUAUAUUUAUUUAUAAUAAAUAUGAUAUUAAUAUUUUGAUUUCCACACUUCAGCACAUUAAUAUGAAGCUAGCUACCACAAUUGUCGAAUCAAGUCUCCAAACGUAGAUCAAAGUUUCUGAGAAAACAUGCAGGGAGAGAGAAAAAGUGUUGAAAUGUGUUUAAAUAAUAAAUAUAUGCUCAUUUAAUAACUGAAAUGUAUGAUAAUGUAAUCUAUAGCUGUUAUAUAAUGUGAAAUAUUGAAAAUCAUUAUAUUUUAUUAUGUUUAGUUAACUAAAGUUAUGUUUUCUUAUUUUAGCCUACUAUAUAUAUAAUAAUAAUACUAUAAAUUGUGUAGUGCGAUAUAAGACAUUUCACUUAACUAAAUUAUUAAAAUACAAAUUAUUUAAUUUUACAUGUGUAAAUAUUUUUAAUUUAUUUUAUUUUUCAUACAUUUUAUUUUGAAUCCUAAAAUCUCAACUCUUAAUUUUUUUUAUUUUAGUUCAAUUUAUCUUAUUCAUUAGAGAAAGGUUUCAAUAUAUGUAUUUAGUAAGAAAUUAAAAUUGUACAUGAAAUAUUUCUGAGAUCAUUUAUAUGAUAGGAAUAUUAAUUAAAUUUUGAUGCAAAUAUUAGUUUUAUAUAAUAUAUACGCAUAUUAUUUUAAAAGAUUUAAUUUAUUACUAUUUACAUUAUUAAACAAAUAAUUUUAGCUACAAUUAUAUUUAUAUAUAUAAUGAUUAAAGAUAAAUAAUAUUAGUAAUUAUAAAUUUAAAUAUAUGGAUCAUAGUUAUAUUCUAAGAUAAUUUAUAAGUUUUUUAAAUUUAUUAUAAUGAUUAUAACAAAUGGUUAAGUUCAAAUUGGAUUGUAUAUAUAAAUGUUGAAGGUAAUGAAAUCAUAAGUCAAAAGGGUAAUAACAGUUUAACAUUUAAUUAUGGCCAAAAAUGUUUUACAAUUUUUCGUUUUAAUAUAGAAAAACAUGUUUUGAGAUUAUUUUAUUUGAUUUUUUAAUAAAACUGACAAUGUCUAGUCAUCUAAGAUAGAAAGUCAGUCUUUAUAUUAUGAAAUGUAUUCAUUUGUAUAUAUUGUGAAAAUAUUGAAAUAGACGAUGAUUUAAAAAUUAAUUUAAUCUCUGAUGAAUAUUAAAAAAUCAAAAGGAAAAUAAAUUAUAUAGUGAAAUACUAAGCAUAGUUAUUUAUACAAAGAUGUAUUUUACAUAAAUGUUAUCACAAAAUUAUUUUAAUUUGAGAAGUCACUGAUAUUUUGUUCUGCGUCAACUUUUCUACAAAUAUUUUUUAACAAAGUUGAAUAUAAUGUUAUUAGAGAAUUUUUAAAUUUGAGAAGUUGUCUUUUUCUUAAUCAAUCAUUCUACAAAUAUGUUCUGUUUUUUUUUUUUACAAAGAUGAAUAUCAUAAAAUGUAAUCCACGUAAAUAAAUUUAUGAUGGGUACAUUUUUCCACGUACAAAAUGUAUUUUCAACUCUUGUUACUCUUAAAAUACAUAACUAUACACAAUUUCUUGCAUGUUAAUAUCUUAAGCAUUUCAUUUCAAAACACCAAACCAUUUUAAUAAUUCAUUUUAAUAUCUGUAUUUAGCCUGGAUAUAUGUAUUAGCCACUAUAAUUGAUACACUCAUUGCUUUGUAUCUUUAAGAAUUAUUUAAACCAAAACAAUUAGUUUUAAGAAACAAGAUUAAAUGUUUUGUAAGUUCCAAUUAAAAUUUACCAAACAAGUCUAAGUGGGGGUUAUUGGUUCCAAUACUUUAGUGGAUUUACAAAUUCUUUUUGGAUUUAGAAAUCAUUGACAAAUCCCUUUAUUUUAAAAUCAAACAAACAUAUUUCAAAAUCAAUGAUAUAAAUUUCCAAAUCAAAAUAAGUUGAUUGUUAUAAAUGAAUGAAAUGGAUUUUAAAUUGAAGUUCACAUUGCUAAGCUCGAAAAAAGUAUAAUUUUCUUGUUUCAUUUAUUAGAUGGUGUUUCUUUAUGAUUUGUGAUUGGUUAUGUUACUUGAAUCACAAUAAUAUGAUAAUUAAUUCAGUAUGUUGGUAGGCAAGACACGGUUCGUUUGUAUGGUUACUGUCAAGUGUCAAUUUAAAAUUGGAAGAAGCGCCAAUAAUAUCUCUCUUCACAAGAGACAACCCAGUCAGUUUUUUCCGAACAACACGGUUUCGUAACGAUACAAAGGUAACACCACCAUCUGAUUCUUGUGUCGGCGAGAAGGUAAAACACUCUGGCCAACUACGCUUAAACUCCUCUGCUCCAUUGAUAAAACGUCCGACGGACAAAGUUAGAGUCUUUGGUGAGAAAGGUGCAUAAAUUGAAAAACAUAAGCAUCAACAUUCCAGCAGGUCUUAAAAUAGUGAAGAAAUACCUCAGGAAAAACAAAUCCUUUUCGUCAACAACGGCUCCGCCGCCUUCUACUACGGCAACGAAAAAAGAAAAAAAAACAUCGUCUGAGGCACGGAGACGCGAUGAUCCUCUUCUGCAACAACAAGAUAGCAUAAAAGUGUCAUCCUACACAAUAACAUGAUAACUAACCACAACUUUGUUUGUAUUUAUUUUCCAAUAAGUUUGCGUGCAAAACAUGCCCCUGAUGCAAAUUCUGAACAUGAACAAAAGACAUUAUAACGAGGUCUAUAUCAACCACGUGUAUUGGGGAUACACAAAAAAUAUAAGAAAAUGGAAAAAAACCCAAUAAUGCAAAUCCAAUCAAAAUAACAAGGUAUAAUUUGAUAUUUGCUCCCUUGUAUUUUACUCUUAAAAAUACUCAUAAAUCCACUCAAAUCAAAAUCAAAAUCAAAUCUUCAAAUAAAUCAUUAACAUUGAAUAACACUUGAUUCUAAAAACUCUUUUAAAAUCAUAUAACCAAUAACACCAGAUUUAAAAUUAGAUUUUAAAAUAAUAGAACCAAUAAUACUUGAUUUGGAUUGGAUUUUCAAAUUCAUAAAAAUACAUAAACCAAUAACACCCUCUUAAAAUUUCAUUUUUUUUAUAAACGGUUUAACAAGUUUAAUUUCAUAUAUUUAUGUGUUGGUUCACAUUUUCCUCAUCCUAUUGAUUACAUGUACCAUAUUUGGUUGCUUCAUAUCCAAAAUUUACUUCUGUGUUGUUGUUGUUUCUAAUUUCUCUACAGUUUGGUACAAAAAUAUGAAGUGAUAUAAAUGUUGUUGGUUUACAAACACCAUGAUUGUUGCUUCAUAAUCAAUAAAAAAAUUUUUUAUUAAAAACAUUUUCAAUCAAAUAAUAUCACAUUCUUAUUUCACUAAUUUCAAAAAUGUCUGAAUGAAAAUAAAAUUCAUUUUAUACCAAAAUCUUUUUUGGUCAUUCCCUAAAUUUUUAUAUGUAAGAAUGAAAUGUUUCAUGUGUCUUUUAGAUCGUAGUAGAAAAUAUCACAUUUAAGUUACAACACCAACCAGAAGAGAUUAUAGUUAUUUGAUAUAUUAUCAAUUAAACAGAUUUCAUAUAUUAUCAACAAAAUAUUUAUGAAAAGUUGGAUUUCUCUUAUACCUUCCAUUAGAAUAUAUGUCAUGUUAAUUAACAUUAUUAAAAAUUGUCAUUUCUUAAAUUCUGUAUAUUUUAAACAUGAUCCUUGAAAAUAGGCCUUGUUCCAUAUUCCACGUCUUAAGUCACCAAAUCUUACACCGCAAAAUAAAUAAAUUAAAUUUAUAUAAACUUUAUCGCUGAGAAUGUGAAGUUAGUAUUGAAGAUGGUGACAGAUCUAAUAAACUUGACAAUGUCUUUGACUCAAUUUUAAGAUUUCUUAAGUUGCAAAAUUUGUUUUAUGUAAUUUUGUUUUAUAUAUUGAAUGUAAAUAUAGAUUAUCUAGCAUAUAAUGUAUAAUCUCAGUGAAAGCUAAACCCCAGUUGGCAUGGAUCAAAUGAUAAAUAUAAAGUAUUUAAAUUCACAGUUUUACAAAGAAUAAGAUGUGUAAUAUAUAUAUAUAUAUAUAUAUAUAUAUAUAUCAUAUAUAUAUAUCAUAUAUGUAUAACAUAACAAUUAUUCAAAAUUUUCAAUCUAGAUAAAAAUAUAUGAAUGGUAUCUCAAAAUUUUUGAUGUGCAUUUAUAUAUAUGAUAAUUUCUCAUUUAUAUUACAACGAAGCUACACACUUAACUAUAGUUUAACUUUUAGCUUUAUGUAUACAGUAUAAAGUAGACAUAAUAUUGGUUGAUUGAAAAGUCCCAAAAAAUAAUAAAUUGAUUGAUCUUUUAUCGUGUUGUAUAUACAUAACUAACUCAAAUAAUUACUAUACGGUAAAUUUAUAUUUUUUUAUCAUUUUGGAGAAAUAUAAAUUUUUACUCAAUAAACAUGAUGUAAUUUGAAGUGUUACUGGUCAUACAAUAAAUCCGAUGAAUUAUUUAUCUACUACAAAAAUUUCUUGAUAUAUUAAGCUAUAGAUAAAAUAGUUAAUAGUAUAUGGAAAUAUGUUUUUUCAUUUCUAGUGUUUGAUUAUGUACGUAUAAAUGUGUAUUAAAUUUUUUAAAAAAUUAUUGACGUAUUACAUAUGUGUUUAAUUAAGAUAUACAAAUGAAUUAGAUGUUUAAGUAUAAGUAUAGUUUAAUGUGGCUAUAAAAUUGUUAGUAAUCAUUUAUGUAAAAAUGUUAGUAUCUAAUGUCUCGUCGUUGCUACCCCUGAUUUCAUCGCAGCUCGCGGAUAAUUCUAGGUCACAGUUUUUGCCACCGAUUCUCCGUUUAAGAUCUUCAUAUUUGGCUCAUCUCUAGAUCUCAUUCAUCUGUUGAUCUCGUUCAUUUCUGAUCCAGUUGAGGCGGUUCAAAACCUUAUGUUCUCAUGUGUUAUUAUAUUGUGAGAUGUAUGAAUUAGGAAAAUAUCAGUUUUAUUUAAUGAUGUUAAGUUGUUAGAAACAUGUUGACUGAUGCAUAAAAAGGCUUAUAAUUGUUAAAAUAUUAAAUAAACUGAUUUGGUUGAUGCAACUGAUAGAUGAUAUUGAAUUGUAAUGAUGAGCGAACUAGAAUGGCUAGAUGCAUAAUGAUUUGAAUUGGAUAAUGAGAAUGAGAAUGAAUUAUGUUGUGUUGUAAGAUCUGGAUCCCAUGAUUUGUGUGAUUGGUGCGGAUCCGAAAAGUAAUGGAUGAAAUUCUGAGUAAAAAUGAUUGUGGAACCACGGGGUGGAUGGACGAUUGGCUGGUGAUCACUAGUGAGAAGCCAAAUAAGACCGCAAGGUGGACAAUGCACGAUAACUCAGGCCAUGAGUGGAGAGUCUAGGGAAAUUUGGUUUUGUGUAAGCUGUGGUGUUGUAUGUGUGAAUAUGUUGAAAAAGCUCUUUAACUGCAGCUUGUCAGUUCUUGUUCUUGCAUUGAGUUGUAUUGUGGUUCAUGCGAUAAGGCUGGUCUAUCACUGGAUAAUCCAAAUUACUCAUCUCCUCUAUCUUUACUUUCUUCGCAACAUUGUGAAUAGAAGUUGUGGUUAAGUUGGUAGAUUUAAGAAGUUUUCUCUAAAUUCAUGGACCAAAGAGAGGACAUAGUGGCUUGCUUUUAGGUGAAUACAUAUGUAUUAACACACCAUUUAGCAUUUGGGAGGUGUAAUACCCAAAUUUGUGGGAGUAGUAUAGGUAGAAAGAACUUAUAAGAAUUGAUUUGGCUACUUAUGGUACAAAAGUACAUUUACUUUUUUGGUUAACCAUCCAAAGAAAACUCAUAGGUUAAGUGUGAUUGAGCUAAAGUAAUUAAAAGAUGCCUGACAUAUCAGGAAGCUGAUGCAAGGUAGUCCGUGUGAGUGAGGACAAACACGGAAAACAAUCAUCUCGUAUAUGUAGGAUCUGUAUAUCAAAUCUACUGAGCUUACUUACUAAUAACACACCGGACGUCGAACGAAACCAAAUCUUUCUAGUAAUAGACCGAGUGUCAAACAAAGAUGAGGCUAACGAACGUUGACGGGUGGGGACAUUACUAGGCUAGUGUUACACAUUAGCUCAGAUGUGGAGACUUCUGUCUCUAUUUAUACUUCCUCUCAAACUCUUAGUUUAUAAGUACCAUAAAUGUAUACUUAGUAACUUAAUUUCUAUUUUUUACUGUUGUCUGAUUUUUGUUUUCCUCUGAGGGUUGCUCUAUAGUAAAUGAAUAAGAUUUGGUUGUUUUCCUCUGAAGAUUGCUCUAUAGAGAUGAAUAAGCGAUCUAACUGCUAUAGGUAAGAGAAUUAACAUGAUUUUGGCGAUCUAACUGCUGAGAAUUAACAUGAAUUUGGCGUCGGCUCAAAGCUCACCAAGUUUCCUUAGUUUGAUCUUCUCAUCAGUAAUUUACAUACUUUAACCAACUCUCAAAUUCUCAUUAGAAUGCAAUGAUAAUCCAGAAAUGUAUAACACUUCAAAAUUCUUGCAACCUAAGCAAUGCCAAAAUAUAAAAAAAAAUUAAAAUUGAAGCAUCAUGUCAUAAAA